CUGAUUCUUUAAAAUUCCAUUUCUUUUAUAGUUAAUAUCGGUAUGAAUGCUAAUGCGUGGAACAUAGAUAUAUAUCGGACGGUAUGAUGUCUUGCCGUCUUUAUUUUGCGAGAAAUAUACGACAGGGGUGUAUUUUAUUUUGACAUCUACAAAGUCUCUAAAAGUAUUUCAUAAUAAUUUGUGUCAUAAUUCUUAUAAUAAAUUGUGCCAUUUAAAAAUAUAAGAGUAGAUUAUCUCCGGAAAUUAGUAAAAAAUAUUUCACAUCUUUCGGAGGCAAUAAUUCUAGUCAGAAGCGAAAAUCCGGAAAAAUUUAUCAAUUCAAAAUCGUCACAUUUUCUCAAAAGGAGAUUUAUCAAAUGUUCGAAAAAAUAGAGGAAAAUCAUUGAUAAUAGUGGCGAAUAUUCCGAGAAUUAAAAUAAAAAUGCGAGAAAAAUUA
Long non-coding RNA from Harpegnathos saltator (Jerdon's jumping ant), 436 nucleotides. RefSeq lists it as uncharacterized. NCBI's taxonomy places the organism in Eukaryota, Metazoa, Arthropoda, Insecta, Hymenoptera, Formicidae. The record is from RefSeq and is a predicted model, not a curated record. The transcript has 3 exons.